GCAGCGGCCCCGGGCCCAGCCACCUCUUGCCGCAGGGUGCACUGGCUGCAGGACCUGUCCGACAGCCACCUCUCCAAGCUGCUCGACGCCAUGGAGGAGGUGCGUGCAUGGGGAGGGGGGGCGUGCGGGACGGGGUCCUCUGCCCAGCGCAGCCCCGAGCGCCCCAUCCAUGCCCGCAGUGCUCCUUCGCACCCGGCCACGUCAUCAUCCGCGAGGGGGACAAGGGGGAGAGCUUCUACAUCAUCCUGAAGGGCCAGGUGCGGGUGAGCCGGCGGGUGGACGGGCAGGAGAAGCUGCUGCGCGUGCUGGGCGCCGGCGAGCACUUCGGGGAGCUCUCGCUGCUGGAGAACAUCCGCCGGACAGCGACCUGCCAGGCGCAGGGACACGUCACCUGCAUCACGGUGGCCAAGGAGUGGGUGUCCCCGUGUCCUGCAGCCCAUCCCUGUUGGGGCAUGGCCGGGACCUGCCUGCCCCACUGACACCCCGCUCUGCCCACAGAGACUUCCUGGAGAUCAUCCCCUUCUGCCCCAGGCACGACUCAGACGCGUGAGUGUCCGUGCCCCUGCGGGGUCCCCACGUGGGUGCUGGCUGGGUGGGUGCUGGGCGCCCGGCAGGGACGGCAGCAGUGACGUGGCGCCAGCAGCGGGUCCUGGACUCUGCCCCGGGAGCACCGCCAGGCACAGGCACCGUCCUGCUCCCGCCGAGCCCCACGGCACGGCCCCGGCGCGUGCUCACCAUGGUGCCACGUGUGGCCCCAUGUGAGGUGUCCAGAA
Molecule: long non-coding RNA, 773 nt
Filed under: Anser brachyrhynchus (Pink-footed goose)
Lineage: Eukaryota; Metazoa; Chordata; Aves; Anseriformes; Anatidae
Description: lncRNA (ENSABRG00000017528.1)
Source: RNAcentral